Cavia porcellus (domestic guinea pig) is the source of this 609-nucleotide non-coding RNA. The record is from the annotation of a RefSeq genome assembly. NCBI's taxonomy places the organism in Eukaryota, Metazoa, Chordata, Mammalia, Rodentia, Caviidae.
AUGCCCCAAGAGGUUGAAAUGGGAAGAAGAGCUGCAGACAGCGAUAUGCACUGUGUUCCUACUGGGUGCUGUCAGGCCUGUGUGGGCUUCAACAAUGUGGCAGUGACUUCCACCCAGGCUGCUCACAUCCUGUGCAGGAGUCAGUCUGUAUUAGUACACAGCAGAGACACGAGGGUCCCCACUCAGCUCCUGGGGCUCCUGUUGCUCUGGCUCUCAGACAGCAGAUGUGACAUCCAGAUGACUCAGUCUCCAUCUUCCUGGUCUGCAUCUCUUGGAGACAGAGUUGCCAUCAUUUGCACAGCCAGUCAGAAUAUUUACAGCUACUUGUCCUGGUAUCAACAGAAACCAGACGAACCUCUCAAGCUCUUGAUCUACGUUGCAAGCAAUUUGGCAUCUGUGAUCCAAUCGAGGUUCAGUGGCAGCAGAUCUGGGACAGAUGUUGCCCUUACCAUCAGCAGUGUGGAGGCUGAAGAUGUUGCAACUUAUUACUGUCAGCAGCAUUACAGAACCCCUCCCACAGUGAUACAAGCCAUAGCAAAAACCACACAGGGAAGCGGAUGUGUGAGGCUGGGCUGUCCCAGCUGCUCUUCUUGUUGUCUGCACCUUUGA